UCGACUAAGGUUCGAUUCGAGCGCAGCGAGAAAGCGUUGCCGUAGGCAACGACCCGAAGGGCGAAGCGCGCAGCGCUGAGUAAUCCUUCCCCCGUCAUCC
RNAcentral lists this small RNA (100 nucleotides) under Salmonella enterica. RNAcentral's name for it is "partial RtT sRNA". It matches the Rfam family "RtT RNA", at positions 32 to 130 of the family's 130-position model. From Rfam's summary of the family: This family represents a bacterial cis-regulatory element known as RtT RNA. The exact function of RtT is unknown although it is thought that it may be involved in changing the cellular response in relation to amino acid starvation. Lineage: Bacteria; Pseudomonadati; Pseudomonadota; Gammaproteobacteria; Enterobacterales; Enterobacteriaceae. RNAcentral also lists the same sequence under 1 other name. The record is from RNAcentral.